CCUACGGGAUGCAGCAGUGAGGAAUAUUGGUCAAUGGGCGAGAGCCUGAACCAGCCAAGUCGCGUGAAGGAUGACGGCCCUACGGGUUGUAAACUUCUUUUGUCAGGGAGCAAUUGGGUCCACGCGUGGGCUUAGCGAGAGUACCUGAAGAAAAAGCAUCGGCUAACUCCGUGCCAGCAGCCGCGGUAAUACGGAGGAUGCGAGCGUUAUCCGGAUUUCUUGGGUUUAAAGGGUGCGUAGGCGGAAUAUCAAGUCAGCGGUAAAAAUUCGGGGCUCAACCCCGUCGGGCCGUUGAAACUGGCUGUCUUGAGAUGUCGAGAGGUAUGCGGAAUGCGCAGUGUAGCGGUGAAAUGCUUAGAUAUUGCGCAGAACUCCGAUUGCGAAGGCAGCAUACCGGCGGCGAUCUGACGCUGAGGCACGAAAGCGUGGGUAUCGAACAGGAUUAGAUACCCCUGUAGUC
Molecule: ribosomal RNA, 460 nt
Filed under: uncultured bacterium
Lineage: Bacteria
Description: partial 16S ribosomal RNA
Rfam family: Bacterial small subunit ribosomal RNA
Source: RNAcentral